GGCCUGAUAGUUCAGUGGUAGAAUUCUUGCUUUGGGUGCAUUAAUGUAAGAGGUCUCCGGUUCGAUCCCGGAUUAGGCCC
RNAcentral lists this transfer RNA (80 nucleotides) under Blumeria graminis f. sp. tritici. It matches the Rfam family "tRNA". From Rfam's summary of the family: Transfer RNA (tRNA) molecules are approximately 80 nucleotides in length. Lineage: Eukaryota; Fungi; Ascomycota; Leotiomycetes; Helotiales; Erysiphaceae. The record is from Rfam by way of RNAcentral. RNAcentral also lists the same sequence under 1 other name.